AUAUCGAUCCAUUGCUUUUAAUUGAGAUGAACGAUUGGUCUGGAUUGUUUGUUGAUGUUUGUGUAGUAAAAUGUUGUUGGAUUGUGUGGAGAAAGAAUCUAAGUGUAGGAAAUCAUGGAGAGGGGCGAGGGCUAGAAUUUCAGAACUGAGGCCUUGGAAGACACAAGGCCUCUUGAACACUUAGACUUUUCUUGUUAUUCUUUUCCCUAUUUUCCUAUAACAAUCCAGGACUGGAAUAAUUUCAUCUGUUUAUAAGUAAUACACUCCUCUCUAUUUUCCUUCAUAAUUUUUCAAGCACUGAACAUACAGAGAACCAUUAAAAACAUACCACUGAAAUAUUCUUCAAGUAACUUGUAUCACCCCAUAUAUAGUUAAUACUUUGUAACAUGACUAAAAGAUUAUACUUAAUGCCACAUCAUGAUAUUCUCUCAACAUUUAUGUAGUGAACAAAUAACAUAGUAGCCACUAGCCAUAUAUAAUGUACAAAACUAAGUUCAACAACAGAGAAGAGUAUAGCUUUACUUUUUCACUUCUUUUUUUCACUUCUUUUAUCAUGUGUACAAAUCAAAGAAUAUUUUGAUACUGACAACAAAUAAAUUGACAACAAAUAAAUAGGCAGAACAUGGCUACUAGUGAGAAUAUAAUCACACAUUGUUUCAUCAAUCAUCUAAACAAUGUGGCAAAUAGGAAACAUGUAUAAGCAUAGUUGACACAAUAUAUAUUGAUAUUAACUUCAUAUCAAUAAAUAUACCUAUAAAGAAAAUCCAUCUCCCGAACUUCCUUUAGUAUCAACACUUUCUGUUAUGGAAACAUGUUGCUAUACAUAUAUGAUUCUCAGAUAAUGUGGAAAUAGCAUUUAACAUUAAAAAAAAAUCCAAUCUAAUUCAUUCUAAUCGAAUAUACCACAUCAAAAGUACUCAGUGGAAGAAAGCCUACAAAAAGAAACCAAACCUUGAUUCCUUGGAACAGAUAAAUAUUUCUGGCAUGAAUGCUCAUAUAAUAUUUCUCCAAAGAACCCUUUUGCUGCCCCAUCCGAUUUUGCAAUUAAGCCACUGAGAUGGAGAGUGAAAAAUGCUUGCUUACUAAGCACUUUACCUACACUUCUUUCACCUUCCACAAAGCCAACCACGCAACAAUCCGAAUAAACUUGCUCAGCGCCCAAAUUUUUGCAGCAUCAUAGAGCUUGAUCCCCUUAGUUUCCAUUCUCCUGAAACAAGAAGAAUACUUAAUAUUAAGUUGGGAGACCAGAACCAGAGCUCCGGUCACAGAAAAACAGAAAUUAAAAAGAGAAAACUGUCUGAAUGAGAAGCGAGCAUACAUAAUUACUGAUAACCAAGAAACAUACUCACAUACUCAUAAAUUGCUUUUCUCAGUGUGUUUAUGGAUUGUUAUGUUAUUGUGUAUGAUGAGUCAAUUGUGUUGUGUUAUUGUGUAUGUUUCAUGAUUGAAUUGAUUUGUAAUCUGAGUAUGGUAUGGCAGAAUCUUUUAAGCUCGUGAUUUACAUUUUGGAUUGAAAUGAGUCAAUUGCUUUUCAUUUAGUUCAUUUAUUUUGAAGUUGUCUGCAUAAUUUUUAAAUAUGUUAUACCGGCUGUCAAUUUGCCAAUUUUCAUUACAAAUGCUUGUUUGAUCUUUUCUUAUUGUGAGACUCUGCUUUUUUUUUUCUUGGUCUUAUUGUGAAUCAGUGAGUAUAUAGGCAUGGUGAUUUAAUAAGUGGUUGCUGAAAGCAUUUAAAAAAAUCAAGUAAUCAAGUAAGCGGUAGUUUUAGUUAAUUAAACUUAGCAUGAUAUAUAGCUUUUAAGUUUAAAGAAUAGGGGUUGAAAAUGAUGGGUUGUAGAGUAAAUUGGAGAGACAAAGAAGAAGGUAUGAAUCCAAUCCAAAACACAAGAAAAAGGAUUUUAUCUUAGUGGGCUUGGGUGUUUAGGAUAAUGUGGAGGAUAUUAAUAUUUUGUUCGAAGUUUGAUUAACAUGCAGUUGCAAUCUAUCAUAUUUUAUGAGUCAAUUCUAUCAGAAUUUUAUCUCCAAAGUGCAUCAAUCCCCAUCAUCUUGUUAUUAAUGAGAACAAACGGAAGAGAGGUAUGACAUUUUGUUCAAAGUGUACUGCUACUUUCCUGCUAAUAUUGUUGACUUUGGUUUGGUUCUAAAAAUUAUGAAAAAAGAAUAUAUUUAUUAUUUGUGAUGCUUCCGUGAUUGCAUUUCCAUGUCCUCUCUUCAUUACAACAUUAUGAUUAUGAUGAGUAUCAAGUGUAAGUGGUACUGGUACUGGUGCCUAGGGAUGGAGAUUGUUCUGUGGAACCUUUUUAGACAACUAGUGUGCAUGGUGAGGAUAUAACGGGGCAUUUUCUUCGCCCCCUUCUCACGCUCACCAGAUAACGUUCAAUUCAUAUAGGCAUGGAUUAUGAUAAAUUUAAAACCCAGCAGAAAGAGCAUACUAAUCAUAUGGAUGCUCUUGAAGAAAACUAUCUAUACGAUCGCCGGGUCAUGAAUUUGCUCUCUAAAGACAUUAGAGAGGAGAUGGAAAAAUUUCAGUGUAAGCAUUCCAAAAACUUAGAAGCUUUGAUGCAAGAAAAUGAGGAAGGGCUGUCAGUGUUGUCAGAGAAAGAAAUGUUGGAUAUGGAAAGGGAGAAAAUGGAUAAAACCUUCAAAAAGCUGAAAAUUUGUAGAAUGGAAAGAGAACCGAAGUUGGAGCGAAUGAAGGAUCAUAUUUCAGAGCUAGAAAUGGGUGUGGAAACGGUAUACAUGGAUAAUGAAGUUAUGAUCAGAGAUUUAUCCGAAAAGAUUGAAAACUUGGAGUAGGUAUGUGAUGUUUGUAAUUAGUCCUGAGUUAUUUGAUUUGCAAAUUUAUAGCUGCAAUGUAGGCUGAUUGAUUGGAGCUGGUUUGUAGGACAUUGCAUACUUGUUUGUUUUAUAAUUUGGCGUGAACUAGGCUUGGAUGUGUGGGAUCAUGAUUUGAUAUAUAGGCUGCAGUUAUUGGUAAUACACUAGUAUGGCCACCUAUCCACACACUUGACACCUUUGCACUUUGUCAUGGUGAUCUAGUGUAACCGUUUUACAAAUACAUACAUUUUCUGUGGUGGUAUAGUAUGGAAUAUGGAAUUUAAUUUGCAUUUGACCUGGUAUUAUAUAGGUGAAAUAUUAUCUUUCCUUUGCUGCAUAUUGAAUUUAUAUGUAUUUUCUGUAUUCUUUUAAUUUUUUUUGUGAGCAGAGGAGGGCUGAGGCUGCAUGGAUAUGGUGGAGUGUUCAAGUCAUGACUACGUUACUUUUAAUUACAUUUUAAUUGAAUUUAUAUGUAUUUUCUGUAUUUUUCAAUUUAUAGUCUUUGAUUUUGAACAAUGAUUACGAGUUGUUUAGUUUUUUUAACCAUGAGCAUGGUCUAAUAAAUAGUUUCUGUAUCACCAGCUUUUUUUUCC
Molecule: unclassified non-coding RNA, 3407 nt
Organism: Vigna unguiculata (cowpea)
Lineage: Eukaryota; Viridiplantae; Streptophyta; Magnoliopsida; Fabales; Fabaceae
Source: RefSeq, a predicted model, not a curated record